RNAcentral lists this ribosomal RNA (1447 nucleotides) under uncultured prokaryote. RNAcentral's name for it is "partial 16S ribosomal RNA". It matches the Rfam family "Bacterial small subunit ribosomal RNA". The record is from RNAcentral.
AGAGUUUGAUCCUGGCUCAGGAUGAACGCUGGCGGCGUGUCUAAGGCAUGCAAGUCGAAUGGUUUACUUCGGUAACCCAUGGCAAACGGGAGAGUAACACAUUGGUAACUUACCCUGAAGACAAGGAUAACUCGGAGAAAUCCGUGACAAUACUUGAUAAUAGUGGGGGGUCUUAUGACAUUCCCACUCAAAGCUCCGGCGCUUCAGGAGAGGCCUAUGUUCCAUCAGCUAGUUGGUAAGGUAAAAGCUUACCAAGGCUACGACGGAUAGCGGGUGUGAGAGCAUGACCCGUCUCACUGGGACUGAGACACUGCCCAGACUCCUACGGGAGGCUGCAGUCAAGAAUCUUCCUCAAUGGCCGAAAGGCUGAAGGAGCGACGCCGCGUGUAUGAAGACGCCCUUCGGGGUGUAAAAUUCUUUAUCUGGGACGAACACAUGACGGUACCAGAUGAAUAAGGGGCUGCUAACCUCGUGCCAGCAGCAGCGGUAAUACGAGGGCCCCGAGCGUUGUCCGGAUUUAUUGGGCGUAAAGCGUCCGCAGGCUGUUUAGUACAUCUUUUGUUAAAUCCUGAGGCUCAACCUCAGGACCGCGAGAGAUAUGGCUAGACUAGAGGCCGGAAGAGGUAAGCGGAAUUGCUGGUGUAGGGGUUAAAUCCGUUAAUAUCAACAGGAACACCAAAUGCGAAGGCAGCUUACUGGUACGAGCCUGACGCUCAUGGACGAAAGCGUGGGUAGCGAAUGGGAUUAGAUACCCCAGUAGUCCACGCCGUAAACGAUGGAUACUAAGCAUUGGCAGUUUCGACCCUUUCAGUGCUGUUCAACUAAGUUAACACCUUAAGUAUCCCGCCUGGGGAGUACGGUCGCAAGACUAAAACUCAAAGGAAUAGACGGGGACCCGCACAAGCGGUGGAGCAUGUGGUUUAAUUCGACGAUAAGCGAAUAACCUCACCCAGACUUGACAUCUAGCUGCAGAAUCUAAGAAAUUAGAUAGCCUUCGAGGGUGCUAGACAGGUGCUGCAUGGUUGUCGUCAGUUCGUGUCGUGAGAUGUACCGUUAAGUCGGAAAACGAACGCAACCCCUAUCCUAUGUUUUAUAUGUCAUAGGAAACUGCCCGCUUUAAGUGGGAGGAAGGUGGGGAUGACGUCAAAUCAGCAUGGUCCUUACGUCUGGGGCUACACACGUGCUACAAUGGAAAGUACAAUGGGACGCCAAACCGCGAGGUGGAGCAAAUCCCUCAAAACUUUUCUCAGUUCGGAUUGGAGUCUGCAACUCGACUCCAUGAAGUUGGAAUCGCUAGUAAACGCGCAUCAACACGACGCGUUGAAUACGUUCUCGGGUCUUGUACUCACCGCCCGUCACACCAAGAGAGCCGGUAAUACCCGAAGGCUCUGCGUAGCAGGGACGAAGGUAGGACUGGUAAUAAGGGUGAAGUCGUAACAAGGUAACC